RNAcentral lists this ribosomal RNA (232 nucleotides) under uncultured bacterium. Its description in RNAcentral is "partial 16S ribosomal RNA". It matches the Rfam family "Bacterial small subunit ribosomal RNA", at positions 118 to 351 of the family's 1533-position model. The record is from RNAcentral.
UGAGUAACCUGCCCUUGACUCUGGGAUAAGCGUUGGAAACGACGUCUAAUACCGGAUACGACCCUCGGAGGCAUCUCCUGAGGGUGGAAAGAAUUUCGGUCAAGGAUGGACUCGCGGCCUAUCAGCUAGUUGGUGAGGUAACGGCCCACCAAGGCGACGACGGGUAGCCGGCCUGAGAGGGUGACCGGCCACACUGGGACUGAGACACGGCCCAGACUCCUACGGGAGGCAG